RNAcentral lists this ribosomal RNA (1011 nucleotides) under Escherichia coli. RNAcentral's name for it is "partial 23S ribosomal RNA". It matches the Rfam family "Bacterial large subunit ribosomal RNA", at positions 1 to 1044 of the family's 2925-position model. Lineage: Bacteria; Pseudomonadati; Pseudomonadota; Gammaproteobacteria; Enterobacterales; Enterobacteriaceae. The record is from RNAcentral.
GGGUUGUGAGGUUAAGCGACUAAGCGUACACGGUGGAUGCCCUGGCAGUCAGAGGCGAUGAAGGACGUGCUAAUCUGCGAUAAGCGUCGGUGAGGUGAUAUGAACCGUUAUAACCGGCGAUUUCCGAAUGGGGAAACCCAGUGUGUUUCGACACACUAUCAUUAACUGAAUCCAUAGGUUAAUGAGGCGAACCGGGGGAACUGAAACAUCUAAGUACCCCGAGGAAAAGAAAUCAACCGAGAUUCCCCCAGUAGCGGCGAGCGAACGGGGAGGAGCCCAGAGCCUGAAUCAGUGUGUGUGUUAGUGGAAGCGUCUGGAAAGGCGUGCGAUACAGGGUGACAGCCCCGUACACAAAAAUGCACAUAUUGUGAGCUCGAUGAGUAGGGCGGGACACGUGGUAUCCUGUCUGAAUAUGGGGGGACCAUCCUCCAAGGCUAAAUACUCCUGACUGACCGAUAGUGAACCAGUACCGUGAGGGAAAGGCGAAAAGAACCCCGGCGAGGGGAGUGAAAAAGAACCUGAAACCGUGUACGUACAAGCAGUGGGAGCCUCUUAAUGGGGUGACUGCGUACCUUUUGUAUAAUGGGUCAGCGACUUAUAUUCUGUAGCAAGGUUAACCGAAUAGGGGAGCCGAAGGGAAACCGAGUCUUAACUGGGCGUUAAGUUGCAGGGUAUAGACCCGAAACCCGGUGAUCUAGCCAUGGGCAGGUUGAAGGUUGGGUAACACUAACUGGAGGACCGAACCGACUAAUGUUGAAAAAUUAGCGGAUGACUUGUGGCUGGGGGUGAAAGGCCAAUCAAACCGGGAGAUAGCUGGUUCUCCCCGAAAGCUAUUUAGGUAGCGCCUCGUGAAUUCAUCUCCGGGGGUAGAGCACUGUUUCGGCAAGGGGGUCAUCCCGACUUACCAACCCGAUGCAAACUGCGAAUACCGGAGAAUGUUAUCACGGGAGACACACGGCGGGUGCUAACGUCCGUCGUGAAGAGGGAAACAACCCAGACCGCCAGCUAAGG